Non-coding RNA from Ictidomys tridecemlineatus (thirteen-lined ground squirrel), 835 nucleotides. Lineage: Eukaryota; Metazoa; Chordata; Mammalia; Rodentia; Sciuridae. The record is from RefSeq and is a predicted model, not a curated record.
CAGCCACCUGGGCUCUCCCCAUUUCCACAACACUACGACCAACAUUGUCAUGAAUGGUUUGCGAAGAAAGUCACGUCACAAAGACCAGCCCACUGAGAGAUUAGUCUCUACCACUAUGAGAUGUAUGCACAAUUGUUCUUUUAGGACUCUGCUCAGCCCACAGAUGUCUCCACAGCUGCUCUCCAUUCCAAAGGGGAAUGUUUUUUUUCCUUGGAAGCAGUCAUGUAAGGUUUUUUGUUGUUUUGUUUUCAUUUUGCUUCAUUUUUAUAUGAAGCAUUGUAAAGAUGUUUUCUCCACUGAGGGGUAAAUGAUCUUACUUGAAAGAUAGCCUUGAAAUUUGCAUCAAGAAAGGUCUAUGCAAUAAAGCACUAUCUGUAUUUCUGUUCAUUUUUAAAUCCUGAUAAAUGUUUUGCAUAUUGGAGACUCAAGAAUUAUAACCACCCAGGAGGUGAAUCUCACGUCUCCUGCUUCCAUAACCGGAGUUGAAAUGCUGAGGCAAGAAAACCUUGAUAUUCAUCAUAAUGUAAGAAAGAUAUUUUCUUUAAGCAACACCUAUAUCCAACAUUCAGCAUUACUUGCUCAAAUUGCAAGUCAUCUUAUAGGAAUUAAGCCUUUUACCCUCAUCUUGUAAGAUUCUGAGCCGACCACGGAGACCCACCAUGAAGUCACAGAAUGAGAGCUAGUCAGAUGCUCUGGAAGCAUUAGAUGCAUGAUAUCCUGAAGAAAAUGUCAUCAGCACCACAUACCUUGCCCAUGGUUCACUUUAACUUGUCAGAGAUAAAAAUCAAUAAAGAUCUCUGAGGUUAGAACCUAAAAGAAUUAGGGUUUACUGGUA